This 406-nucleotide ribosomal RNA is filed under the name Verrucomicrobiota bacterium. RNAcentral's name for it is "Verrucomicrobia bacterium partial 16S ribosomal RNA". It matches the Rfam family "Bacterial small subunit ribosomal RNA", at positions 355 to 776 of the family's 1533-position model. Lineage: Bacteria; Pseudomonadati; Verrucomicrobiota. The record is from RNAcentral.
UGGGGAAUAUUGGACAAUGGAGGAAACUCUGAUCCAGCAAUUCUGUGUGUGUGAAGAAGGUUUUAGGACUGUAAAACACUUUUAGUAGGGAAGAAAAAAAUGACGGUACCUACAGAAGAAGCAACGGCUAACUACGUGCCAGCAGCCGCGGUAAUACGUAGGUGGCAAGCGUUGUCCGGAAUUAUUGGGCGUAAAGCGCGCGCAGGCGGACUAGCCAGUCAGUCUUAAAAGUUCGGGGCUUAACCCCGUGAUGGGAUUGAAACUACUAGUCUAGAGUAUCGGAGAGGAAAGUGGAAUUCCUAGUGUAGCGGUGAAAUGCGUAGAUAUUAGGAAGAACACCAGUGGCGAAGGCGACUUUCUGGACGAACACUGACGCUGAGGCGCGAAAGCCAGGGGAGCGAACGGG